Clupea harengus (Atlantic herring) is the source of this 1618-nucleotide long non-coding RNA. The record is from Ensembl. Lineage: Eukaryota; Metazoa; Chordata; Actinopteri; Clupeiformes; Clupeidae.
UGAACUUGUGUGUGGGUGUGUGUGUGUGUGUGAACUUGUGUGUGGGUGGCCGCCUUGGAGGUGUUCAUUCUUCACUGGAACAGAAAAGGUGUGUGUGCGUGUGUGUGUGUGUGUGUGUGUGUGUGUGUGUGUGUGUGUGUGGGUGGGGGCAGAAAUGUUCUGAUCGCCUUGGAGGUGUUCAUUCUUCAUUGCUUUUUCCCCCUUUUAUCUUUCAUUAUUUGUAAAGCCUCUCUAACCUUCUGUAACUGAAUGGAAAGAAAUGGUGGGAGAGAUGACAAUGUACACUGAGAUUUGUCAGAGCGUUCUUUGGGUGAAAGGGGCUUUCAUGUUUGUAUUUACAUAGCAGCGAAUCAGCAGCUUGUCUAUGUCGGUUUGACAUUUUGAUGAUUCUCGUAAAGUCCUUUAUUAGUUGUUAACAACAUGUGGAAAUGUAUUUGCUUACUUACAAAAGUAACCUCUAUCUGUAUGACAUUUGAGCUAAUUCUGUUUGGGCUAUGAUAAUGUGUAAGAAAAAGAAUACGGAAAAAAAAAAGCUUUCUAAUGAACGCGUGGGAGUGAGGAGCCCGGUCUGAGCAAAGCUAAUCUCACCGCACGUUGGGGGUGAGACACGUCUCUGGCUGCCUGAGAGCACUAAGGCCCCAUAGCACAGGAAACCACAAAGGUACAGCAAACGGAGAAACACACACACACUUCCCCUGCGGAUGAAAAGCUCUGCACACACACAGACACACCUGCCCUUGGCACAUUCUCCUGAUCCUUACGAUUUUCUCAGGUUUGAAAGCAAAAAUGACGGCCUGAGUCACACUGCUAGCUUUUAAACAAAGCCUACGACUUUUUCCACCUCAGGAAAAAAUUAAAUAAAAACAUAUACAACCAAUUUUUGUUUUUGUGUCUGUUUGCUAGUGUCGAGUAGCCCUAAAAACAGGAAAUGCUAUACGACCAUGUGCUCUGUUGAAAGUCCAGGCUGAUUUCAAACAAGAAACCAAUCCCAAAUUAUUUUUCAUUGUUUCUAACCCCUGACCGAUUGUUUUUGCUCAAACUCCCGUGCAGACAGACUGAGCGGUCUCCUCCCUUUGGCUUGUACAGGCAGCUCACACCAGUUGGAUCAGUUUCUGAACACUACACUUGCCAGGCAGGAAUCAGAAGUGGGUCUACCGGUCCUGUUGGUACGCAGUGACAGAAGCUCACUAGGUCUAGGGCUAAUGAACUUUGUCUUCGGUUAUCGUCGCCAGGCUGUGACACCGUGAUCUUUCCCACAUGUGCAUCGAUGCUCAUUCAUUAAUCCUAUCCUAUCUGAAGUCAUAAUGCAGAACAGUAAAUAGUCUGUACAAACUCCAAAUGCAUCCAGCGACCUACGGUCCUCUAGCCGAUGUCCUGCCGCUCAGCUGCUAGGUCAAAGUCAUGAUGGCAGGUUGACUCCCCUGGGCUGAGAGUUGCUCUUGAUAGGGAAGUAAAUGCAUUUGUUAGUGAGAAGUGAGAAAGGGCCAAAAUGUACAGUCUCUCUCCAGAACAGACUAGUGCAGAACAGGCUAAUCCAGAACAGGCUAGUGCAGAACAGGCUAAUCCAGAACAGGAGGUCCUUUUUCCCAGCUGCCAUAAAACUAUGACUAUAUGACUA